Molecule: ribosomal RNA, 436 nt
Filed under: uncultured bacterium
Lineage: Bacteria
Description: bacterial SSU rRNA
Rfam family: Bacterial small subunit ribosomal RNA
Source: RNAcentral
AGCGAACGCUGGCGGCAUGCUUAACACAUGCAAGUCGCACGGUCAGCAAUGGCAGUGGCGGACGGGUGAGUAACGCGUAGGAAUUUAUCUAGUGGUGGGGGACAACCGUGGGAAACUACGGCUAAUACCGCAUGAUGCCUGAGGGCCAAAGGUCGCAAGACCGCCAUCUGAGGAGCCUGCGUCUGAUUAGCUAGUUGGUGGGGUAAAGGCCUACCAAGGCUGCGAUCAGUAGCUGGUCUGAGAGGAUGAUCAGCCACAUUGGGACUGAGACACGGCCCAAACUCCUACGGGAGGCAGCAGUGGGGAAUAUUGGACAAUGGGCGCAAGCCUGAUCCAGCAAUGCCGCGUGUGUGAAGAAGGUCUUCGGAUUGUAAAGCACUUUUGGCAGGGACGAUGAUGACGGUACCUGCAGAAUAAGCCCCGGCUAACUUCGUGC